Molecule: ribosomal RNA, 399 nt
Filed under: Arthrobacter globiformis
Lineage: Bacteria; Bacillati; Actinomycetota; Actinomycetes; Micrococcales; Micrococcaceae
Description: partial 16S ribosomal RNA
Rfam family: Bacterial small subunit ribosomal RNA
Source: RNAcentral
GCACCGUGGUAGUCGCUGRUGCUAUCCUAGGCUUGCCCGGGGAUUAKUGGCGAACGGRUGAGUAACACCUGAGUAACCUGCCCUUGACUCUGGGAUAAGCCUGGGAAACUGGGUCUAAUACCGGAUAUGACUCCUCRUCGCAUGGUGGGGGGUGGAAAGCUUUUGUGGUUUUGGAUGGACUCGCGGCCUAUCAGCUUGUUGGUGAGGUAAUGGCUCACCAAGGCGACGACGGGUAGCCGGCCUGAGAGGGUGACCGGCCACACUGGGACUGARACACGGYCCARACUCCUACGGGAGGCAKCAGWGGGGAAUAUUGCGCAAUGGGCGCAAGUYUGAUUCAGCGACGCCUCGUGACGGAUGACWGCCUUCUGGUUGUAAACCUCUUUCWRUAKGGAUUAA